UACGUAGGGUGCGAGCGUUGUCCGGAAUUAUUGGCGUAAAGAGCUCGUAGGCGGUCUGUCGCGUCGAUCGUGAAAACUUGGGGCUUAACCCUGAGCUUGCGGUCGAUACGGGCAUGACUGGAGUUCGGCAGGGGAGACUGGAAUUCCUGGUGUAGCGGUGAAAUGCGCAGAUAUCAGGAGGAACACCGGUGGCGAAGGCGGGUCUCUGGGCCGAUACUGACGCUGAGGAGCGAAAGCGUGGGGAGCAAACAGG
This 253-nucleotide ribosomal RNA is filed under the name uncultured bacterium. Its description in RNAcentral is "partial 16S ribosomal RNA". It matches the Rfam family "Bacterial small subunit ribosomal RNA", at positions 524 to 776 of the family's 1533-position model. The record is from RNAcentral.